UUUCCGUAGGUGAACCUGCGGAAGGAUCAUUAAUGAAAUGCAAGGGCGCUCUUUUUAGAGGUCCGACCAAAUCAUUCCUUUCACCCUGUGCACAUUACUUUUUUACAUCAUUUUAAACACCAUAGUCUUAGAAUGUCAACAGUCUCCUCACGGAGCAUAAACAUAAUAAAACUUUCGGCAACGGAUCUCUUGGCUCCCGCAUCGAUGAAGAACGCAGC
This 218-nucleotide unclassified non-coding RNA is filed under the name uncultured fungus. RNAcentral's name for it is "sequence contains ITS1, 5.8S rRNA gene". The stretch from base 170 to 218 matches the Rfam family "5.8S ribosomal RNA", at positions 1 to 49 of the family's 154-position model. The record is from RNAcentral. Lineage: Eukaryota; Fungi.